UGGGGAAUCUUGCGCAAUGGGCGAAAGCCUGACGCAGCCAUGCCGCGUGAAUGAUGAAGGUCUUAGGAUUGUAAAGUUCUUUCGCCCGUGACGAUGAUGACGGUAACGGGAGAAGAAGCCCCGGCUAACUUCGUGCCAGCAGCCGCGGUAAUACGAAGGGGGCUAGCGUUGUUCGGAAUUACUGGGCGUAAAGCGCGCGUAGGCGGUUUUGCAAGCCAGAGGUGAAAUGCCUGAGCUCAACUUAGGAAUUGCCUUUGGGACUGCGAGGCUUUGAGGACGAGAGAGGUGAGUGGAAUUCCCAGUGUAGAGGUGAAAUUCGUAGAUAUUGGGAAGAACACCGGUGGCGAAGGCGGCUCACUGGCUCGUUUCUGACGCUGUAGCGCGAAAGCGUGGGGAGCAAACGGGAUUAGAUACCCGGGUAGUCCCUGAGCGGGCUGGCAAGGCGCAU
Molecule: ribosomal RNA, 448 nt
Filed under: uncultured bacterium
Lineage: Bacteria
Description: bacterial SSU rRNA
Rfam family: Bacterial small subunit ribosomal RNA
Source: RNAcentral